This 73-nucleotide transfer RNA is filed under the name Vicugna pacos (alpaca). Its description in RNAcentral is "tRNA-Ala (AGC) (tRNA-Ala-AGC-206-1)". It matches the Rfam family "tRNA". From Rfam's summary of the family: Transfer RNA (tRNA) molecules are approximately 80 nucleotides in length. Their secondary structure includes four short double-helical elements and three loops (D, anti-codon, and T loops). Lineage: Eukaryota; Metazoa; Chordata; Mammalia; Artiodactyla; Camelidae. The record is from RNAcentral.
GGUGGAUGUAGCUCAGUGGUAGAGCGCAUGCUUAGCAUGCAUGAGGUCCUGGGUUCAAUCCCCAGUACCUCCA